UACGAAGGGGGCUAGCGUUGUUCGGAAUCACUGGGCGUAAAGCGCACGUAGGCGGACCUGUAAGUCAGAGGUGAAAUCCCGGGGCUCAACCUCGGAACUGCCUUUGAUACUGCGGGUCUAGAGUCCGAUAGAGGUGAGUGGAAUUCCUAGUGUAGAGGUGAAAGUCGUAGAUAUUAGGAAGAACACCGGUGGCGAAGGCGGCUCACUGGAUCGGUACUGACGCUGAGGUGCGAAAGCGUGGGGAGCAAACAGG
Molecule: ribosomal RNA, 253 nt
Filed under: uncultured bacterium
Lineage: Bacteria
Description: partial 16S ribosomal RNA
Rfam family: Bacterial small subunit ribosomal RNA
Source: RNAcentral